This is a small nucleolar RNA of Capsicum annuum, 103 nucleotides long. NCBI's taxonomy places the organism in Eukaryota, Viridiplantae, Streptophyta, Magnoliopsida, Solanales, Solanaceae. The record is from RefSeq and is a predicted model, not a curated record.
ACUUCAUGAUUUGGGCAUUGGACGAAAUUUCCUUUAAAUCAUUCCCAAGCUUUAAACAAUAACUCUCCAUUCAUUUGCCAAAAAUUCACAAUCUCGUCCAACU